This 559-nucleotide ribosomal RNA is filed under the name uncultured bacterium. RNAcentral describes it as "bacterial SSU rRNA". It matches the Rfam family "Bacterial small subunit ribosomal RNA", at positions 424 to 987 of the family's 1533-position model. The record is from RNAcentral.
GGUUAAACUCUUUAUAGGGUAAUAAGUAGCUUUACGUGUAGAGUUUGUAUGUACCUUAUGAAUAAGCAUCGGCUAACUCCGUGCCAGCAGCCGCGGUAAUACGGAGGAUGCGAGCGUUAUCCGGAUUUAUGGGUUUAAAGGGAGCGUAGACGGGAUGUUAAGUCAGCUGUGAAAGUUUGGGGCUCAACCUUAAAAUUGCAGUUGAAACUGGCGUUCUUGAGUGCGGUAGAGGCAGGCGGAAUUCGUGGUGUAGCGGUGAAAUGCUUAGAUAUCACGAAGAACUCCAAUUGCGAAGGCAGCUUGCUGGAGCGUAACUGACGUUGAUGCUCGAAAGUGUGGGUAUCAAACAGGAUUAGAUACCCUGGUAGUCCACACGGUAAACGAUGGAUACUCGCUGUUGGCGAUAUACGGUCAGCGGCCAAGCGAAAGCAUUAAGUAUCCCACCUGGGGAGUACGCCGGCAACGGUGAAACUCAAAGGAAUUGACGGGGGCCCGCACAAGCGGAGGAACAUGUGGUUUAAUUCGAUGAUACGCGAGGAACCUUACCCGGGCUUAAAUU